Long non-coding RNA from Brassica rapa (field mustard), 652 nucleotides. RefSeq lists it as uncharacterized. NCBI's taxonomy places the organism in Eukaryota, Viridiplantae, Streptophyta, Magnoliopsida, Brassicales, Brassicaceae. The record is from RefSeq and is a predicted model, not a curated record.
UUUUAAUGAUGAGUUUCCUUUCUUUUUUUUUUUUGUCGGGGAUUUAUUUAGAUAUUACAAUUAAGAGAAAGAUUACAAAGACGAUUCGAUUACCGACAAUACUACCUGCCUUAUGAGGAUCUACGCCUAACUGUCUCAUUUGAGCCGUCCUAUGAAGAUCACGCCUGACCGGAUUUACUUGCACCAUGUUGAGAAACUCUUGUAAGCCUUUCUUCCGUAAUCGCAUAAUUGUUGAAUAAAUCGCUUGCUCUGGGAAUUGAAACCUGGAUUUCCUGUGCAAUCUGUAAGAAAUUGCAUAGUCUAGAAUUUGAACCCGAGCCCUGGGUGUAGAAGCCUUUAAACCAUAACCACUAAGCUACGGUGGUUCCACAAUCUAUUUGAUGUAAGUUUGUAAACCACUAUUUUUUUCUCUGGAAAUAAAUAUUUUUACAGUUAUAUUUUAAUUCUCUAAAAAAAGUUUUGCGGUAACAUAUUUUGAAAAAGAAAGUAAAUUUAAUUGAUUGAUAUAUAAGAUUUUCGACUAAAUUUUGGCUGUGCAUAGCACCAAAGCAACAACCCCAAUAUCUGAUUCUAAUUAUUCAAACGAGAUAUAAAAUGUCAAAUACGUUUUCCAAGUGAGAAGGCAUCCAGUAAUAAAUCAAGAACCAUUGAU